This 1321-nucleotide long non-coding RNA is filed under the name Homo sapiens (human). RNAcentral describes it as "DPH5 divergent transcript". The record is from RNAcentral. Lineage: Eukaryota; Metazoa; Chordata; Mammalia; Primates; Hominidae.
GACCAGAGCCCGGCUCCACUGAAGAAACCCGCCGGCUGCUGGGGCAGGGCGGCGAAAGGUCAGUCGGCCGAGAGGAGUCCGUGGAGCCACCGUUUCAUAGCCUCAGGGAAAGGAUCGGGCGUGCUCACGAGCCCUCUAACCCAUGGCUUAAACACCCGCUUCCUAAGCCUGGGUUCUUAUGCCUUUGUUUGAAAAACAUGGUUCCCUGUGAAAUUUUACAUGUAGAAGAAAGCUUCACACUACGAGAGCUCUCAGGAUAUAAUUAUUUCAGACAGAUACUGGGAACAUAAGAUGGCUUAUCAAUCUAAGAUGGCCUUCCUGUCCUUCGGAUUGAACUGAAACCAUCCCUGAUUCCAGGGAUAGGUAGAUGAUCCAGGUUUGGACAAUCAAAAUAUUGAACCACCCUGGACCUACAAGUGUUUCUGGGAUGGGAACAUGCAAACGUUGGUCCAAAUUGUUGUUCUAGGCAGCCCAGUACAUUUCUCCAAUGCCUGAUGGAAUGAUAGGGUAUGCAUAAAUGUUCAUGUGGGCUCUGGAGUAUACCAGGAACUGAAGUAAGGUACAUGGACGUCUUGAAUAUUGUAACUGAGAUGGGCAAGCCUACACCUUUGCAAAUAAAGGAGGAUUGGGAAAGAUUAAGAUCCUGUUAAACGUCAGUGUUACUAUUUAGCCUUUGAUAUCUCCAGUAAAGGCAACUUCUUUCUGGACCCAGAAAUAAAGCUUUACAUUAGCAGCUUCCAUAACACCAAUAACAUGAAUGACCAUCUACUGAGCAAUUGCAGUGCACCAGGAUUAUGGCUUAUGAGCACUUUAUGUUUAUUAUCUCACAACUCACUGAGUUAGAUACUCUCCACAACCCAGUGAGCCUCUCAAGCACUGUGAAAAAUCACUUUCUCUUGUUGUAUUCUUGGAGCCCCUGCUAAUUCAUUAUUGAAAAAUACCUGCUGCCUGCAUUUGGCCUUAUGUUGUCAUUUACUUGGUACUUCCUAAGCGUGGCUACUCCAAUGAAGCUUUAGUAUAUGUACUGAAAGAAGAUCCUCUCAUACUGCCACAGCCAAGAGAUAAGGUUGUAAAUCUUUAUUGGGAGAAGCCGUCAAGGACAGUUCUGUGAAAUGAAAGGAUCUCUGGAUCACCACAAAGUCUGGCUCAGUGACUAUGGCUUUGCAAACACUAAACAUUCCUGUCUCAAGUCCUGUAGAUGGCUUGAAAUAGUAUACAUAAGCAUGCCUUAUAAACAUCUUCAGUCUUUAUCAACUCUUUGGAGAUUCAGCCAUUCUUUUUUGUACUUUAGGGAAUUAAAUCAUUUUAUAAUGUAUAAAUC